GAAAGUUCCUGUGUUUGAGUAUUAUGGAGAUCACGAGAAGGCAUACCGAACUGGAGCCAACAUCUCUCCGGAGAAGCUGAUGAGGGGAGAGGCCUCACUGCACCUGCCAGCCAUUCAGCUCAGUGAUGCUGGAGAGUACUUCUGUAAGGUGGUGGUCACCCCUGAGAUGGAUGAGAAAAGUGUGCAGAGUGGGAUGGAUGUUAGAGGCUGGUCUGGGGACCCACCGUGGGCUAGAGAGCUGGGCUUUGGUGGGUGGUGAGAUGACUCUGGGCAAGGUGUGAAGCCUCUGAAUCUCGGUGCCCUUGCUAGAAACAAAUGUGAUGGCAUCUGCCCAGGAGGAGUGGGGAGAGAUGGCAUGUUGGGAAGAUGCAGGUGAAAUGUUGGAUGUGCCCCUGUCUAUGACACAUAGUGAGUGGAAGACAGCAAUAGUGGUUAUUGCAUUAUUCCCACUGGGUGUGGGUUGUCAUUUUAUCUGAGCAGGUUCCUUGGGGAGGCAGCUGGGAAAGAGAGGGUUGCUAGACUGUGGUCCCCUUCAAUUUUUGUGCUUCUAAGUGAGUGAGAUAAACAUUUAGCAUCCUUGCACCUGGAUUUCCCAUUUCCAAAAAGGGAUUCUUAGGAAGAUGUUAUGCAAGAUGUGCAGUGGAGUGAGGUAUGAUGAAGCCUGACAGGACAGACACAUCCCCAAAUUC
Ochotona curzoniae (black-lipped pika) is the source of this 689-nucleotide long non-coding RNA. RefSeq lists it as uncharacterized. The transcript has 2 exons. NCBI's taxonomy places the organism in Eukaryota, Metazoa, Chordata, Mammalia, Lagomorpha, Ochotonidae. The record is from RefSeq and is a predicted model, not a curated record.